UACGGGGGGGGCAAGCGUUGUUCGGAAUUACUGGGCGUAAAGGGUUUGUAGGUGGCUUGCUAAGUCAGACGUGAAAUCCCUCAGCUUAACUGGGGAACUGCGUCUGAGACUGGCAAGCUUGAGUGCAGGAGAGGAACGCGGAAUUCCUGGUGUAGCGGUGAAAUGCGUAGAUAUCAGGAGGAACACCUGCGGUGUAGACGGCUUACUGGACCGUAACUGACGCUGAGGCACGAAAGCGUGGGUAGCAAACAGG
This 253-nucleotide ribosomal RNA is filed under the name uncultured bacterium. RNAcentral describes it as "partial 16S ribosomal RNA". It matches the Rfam family "Bacterial small subunit ribosomal RNA", at positions 524 to 776 of the family's 1533-position model. The record is from RNAcentral.